This 440-nucleotide ribosomal RNA is filed under the name uncultured bacterium. RNAcentral's name for it is "bacterial SSU rRNA". It matches the Rfam family "Bacterial small subunit ribosomal RNA", at positions 29 to 514 of the family's 1533-position model. The record is from RNAcentral.
AACGAACGCUGGCGGCAGGCCUAACACAUGCAAGUCGAACGCCGUAGCAAUACGGAGUGGCAGACGGGUGAGUAACACGUGGGAACGUACCUUUCGGUUCGGAAUAACUCAGGGAAACUUGAGCUAAUACCGGAUACGUGCGAGAGCAGAAAGAUUUAUCGCCGAAAGAUCGGCCCGCGUCCGAUUAGCUUGUUGGUGAGGUAAUGGCUCACCAAGGCGACGAUCGGUAGCUGGUCUGAGAGGAUGAUCAGCCACACUGGGACUGAGACACGGCCCAGACUCCUACGGGAGGCAGCAGUGGGGAAUAUUGGACAAUGGGCGAAAGCCUGAUCCAGCCAUGCCGCGUGAGUGAUGAAGGCCUUAGGGUUGUAAAGCUCUUUUGUCCGGGAAGAUAAUGACGGUACCGGAAGAAUAAGCCCCGGCUAACUUCGUGCCAGCAG